This 509-nucleotide ribosomal RNA is filed under the name uncultured bacterium. RNAcentral describes it as "bacterial SSU rRNA". It matches the Rfam family "Bacterial small subunit ribosomal RNA", at positions 791 to 1300 of the family's 1533-position model. The record is from RNAcentral.
UAGUCCACGCUGUAAACGAUGUCUACUUGGAGGUUGUGGCCUUGAGCCGUGGCUUUCGGAGCUAACGCGUUAAGUAGACCGCCUGGGGAGUACGGUCGCAGGAUUAAAACUCAAAUGAAUUGACGGGGGCCCGCACAAGCGGUGGAGCAUGUGGUUUAAUUCGAUGCAACGCGAAGAACCUUACCUACUCUUGACAUCUACAGAAGCCAGCGGAGACGCAGGUGUGCCUUCGGGAACUGUAAGACAGGUGCUGCAUGGUUGUCGUCAGCUCGUGUUGUGAAAUGUUGGGUUAAGUCCCGCAACGAGCGCAACCCUUAUCCUUGUUUGCCAGCACGUAAUGGUGGGAACUCCAGGGAGACUGCCGGUGAUAAACCGGAGGAAGGUGGGGACGACGUCAAGUCAUCAUGGCCUUACGAGUAGGGCUACACACGUGCUACAAUGGCGCAUACAGAGGGCUGCAAGCUAGCGAUAGCAAGCGAAUCCCAAAAAGUGCGUCGUAGUCCGGAGUU